Molecule: long non-coding RNA, 254 nt
Filed under: Setaria viridis
Lineage: Eukaryota; Viridiplantae; Streptophyta; Magnoliopsida; Poales; Poaceae
Description: long non-coding RNA (SVIR_LNC005429)
Source: RNAcentral
GGAGAUUGAGGACCAAUGGUGAUUACCCAUGGAUGAUGAGUGAUUGACAACGUUGUGUUGGAAUGAUGUUGCUCUUGCCUUAUGAUGUGCAGGUGUAGGAUGCGGUGUGACGCCUGACGGCGUGCGGUGAAGGUCAAGCGAAAAGUUCAUGCCAAUGGACCAAGGGCGGUGAAGGCUGAACGAGAGUAGGUUUGGACCGAUGGACCCGAGGAGUCCGGGCGUAGUCACGGGCAGUCCACAUGGUGCACAGAGAG